GGGAAACGAUUCUGACCUGAAACAAUUAAGAUUACAUUGUGGAUGCGUCCAAACCGUUACACGAUAGCACGCAUCCAAUACGCCAGGGCACGGAGGGCCACGACGACCGACGCGAGUGACGAAGCCGGCCGACGACCAGUUCGUUAUCGAGCAGCGCGCCACACAAACGUGUACACGAAUAAUUUUCGCAGCCGCCUAAACCGCCCUUGUAACACUGUGCCAUUUUAUUUCAAUACUCAACACAUUGUAAUAGCGUCCAAGACCAAUUUCAACCACAACAACUAAUCUCAUAAAAGGUACAAUUCACAAAAAUAGAAAGCCAAAAAUUGUAUAUUCUAAAAUAGUAACACAGUUUCAUAAACCGACUUCUCUGGUGAAUUUUAUGGGUGCAAUAUUUAGUGUGAAAAGUGAGUUUCGCGUUUAAAAAAAAACACAGUUUGCAAAAGUUACGGACAAAGAAGAAGUGUGUACACAGGGUGUAUAAAUUGAGAAAUUAUUCGGGUUAAGUAAAGAAGUGUAGUUGUAUUAAAUGCGAAGAUGUGCGUACCCUUGUGGAAGCGGUUGCUGUCGUUGCUAUCCUCGGAGGAGGCGUCGUUGGGCGAGUCGAGCGCGGCGCCCGCCAGCGCCUCGCGCGCCAGCUUCUCGCGCAUUCCGUCCUCGCAUCAUAUCGGGUAAAAAAAAGAAAUCAAAACGUGAACACUACCACUGUGUGUGCAGCUCCAAGAUAUUGGAUUUUCGCGUACAUCUGAUAGCUAUUUUACUAUAA
Long non-coding RNA from Helicoverpa zea (corn earworm), 766 nucleotides. RefSeq lists it as uncharacterized. NCBI's taxonomy places the organism in Eukaryota, Metazoa, Arthropoda, Insecta, Lepidoptera, Noctuidae. The transcript is spliced from 3 exons. The record is from RefSeq and is a predicted model, not a curated record.